AAUGAACGCUGGCGGCGUGCCUAACACAUGCAAGUCGAACGAGAAAGCCCGCAAGGGUGAGUACAGUGGCGCACGGGUGAGUAAUACAUAGGAAUCUGCCUCUGAGUGAAGAAUACCCUAGAGAAAUUUAGGUUAAUACUGCAUAAGCCCAGAAAUGGGGAAAGGUGGCCUCAAGCUACCGCUGAGAGAUGAGCCUAUGGCCUAUUAGCUAGUUGGUAGGGUAAAAGCCUACCAAGGCGAGGAUGGGUAGCCGGCCUGAGAGGGUGUACGGCCACACUGGAACUGAGACACGGUCCAGACUCCUACGGGAGGCAGCAGUGGGGAAUUUUGGACAAUGGGCGCAAGCCUGAUCCAGCCAUGCCGCGUGCGGGAAGAAGGCCUUCGGGUUGUAAACCGCUUUUGUCAGGGAAGAAAUCCUUUGGGUUAAUACCUCGGGGGGAUGACGGUACCUGAAGAAUAAGCACCGGCUAACUACGUGCCAGCCGCCGCCGUAA
RNAcentral lists this ribosomal RNA (494 nucleotides) under uncultured bacterium. RNAcentral describes it as "partial 16S ribosomal RNA". It matches the Rfam family "Bacterial small subunit ribosomal RNA", at positions 29 to 523 of the family's 1533-position model. The record is from RNAcentral.